UGGGAAUUUGGACAAUGGGCGAAGCUGAUCCAGCAAUGCCGCGUGUGUGAAGAAGGCCUUCGGGUUGUAAAGCACUUUUGUCCGGAAAGAAAUCCUUGGCUCUAAUACAGUCGGGGGAUGACGGUACCGGAAGAAUAAGCACCGGCUAACUACGUGCCAGCAGCCGCGGUAAUACGUAGGGUGCAAGCGUUAAUCGGAAUUACUGGGCGUAAAGCGUGCGCAGGCGGUUUGCUAAGACCGAUGUGAAAUCCCCGGGCUCAACCUGGGAACUGCAUUGGUGACUGGCAGGCUAGAGUAUGGCAGAGGGGGGUGAGAAUUCCACGUGUAGCAGUGAAAUGCGUAGAGAUGUGGAGGAAUACCGAUGGCGAAGGCAGCCCUGGCAGUACUGACGCUCAUGCACG
RNAcentral lists this ribosomal RNA (401 nucleotides) under uncultured bacterium. RNAcentral describes it as "partial 16S ribosomal RNA". It matches the Rfam family "Bacterial small subunit ribosomal RNA", at positions 357 to 755 of the family's 1533-position model. The record is from RNAcentral.